CGAUGUGAGGGCGAUCUGGCUGCUACCUGUCACCUAUGAUUGCCAGGGUUGACUCAGCUGUCCCCUUACUCCAUGUGUGCCCCUCAGAAGCUGCACACUCAGUUUAAGAGGAUAAGCCCUCCCUCCAUAGAAGAGCUCCGUUCCUUGGUCAAGGGUACAGAAGUAGCUGCACUCUCCUGCUAGAACCUCCAAACAAGCUCUCAACAUCCAGCUAGAGGCAAGGGCUGAUAGCAAAAAAAAGUCCCGGUUUACUCUCCAAAUUUUGCCCUACUCAGUUUGAAAGGUGUGAACGAUU
This is an unclassified non-coding RNA of Cavia porcellus (domestic guinea pig), 295 nucleotides long. Its record names the gene 7SK. It matches the Rfam family "7SK RNA". From Rfam's summary of the family: 7SK was discovered as an abundant small nuclear RNA in the mid-70s but a possible function has only recently been suggested. Two independent studies have found that 7SK RNA binds the CDK9/cyclin T complex (known as elongation factor P-TEFb). The record is from Ensembl. NCBI's taxonomy places the organism in Eukaryota, Metazoa, Chordata, Mammalia, Rodentia, Caviidae.